RNAcentral lists this ribosomal RNA (254 nucleotides) under uncultured bacterium. RNAcentral describes it as "partial 16S ribosomal RNA". It matches the Rfam family "Bacterial small subunit ribosomal RNA", at positions 524 to 777 of the family's 1533-position model. The record is from RNAcentral.
UACGAAGGGGGCUAGCGUUGUUCGGAUUUACUGGGCGUAAAGCGCACGUAGGCGGAUCGUUAAGUCGGGGGUGAAAUCCUGGAGCUCAACUCCAGAACUGCCUUCGAUACUGGCGAUCUCGAGUCCGGAAGAGGUGAGUGGAACUCCUAGUGUAGAGGUGGAAUUCGUAGAUAUUAGGAAGAACACCAGUGGCGAAGGCGACUCACUGGUCCGGUACUGACGCUGAGGUGCGAAAGCGUGGGGAGCAAACAGGG